Molecule: unclassified non-coding RNA, 232 nt
Filed under: Hevea brasiliensis (rubber tree)
Lineage: Eukaryota; Viridiplantae; Streptophyta; Magnoliopsida; Malpighiales; Euphorbiaceae
Source: RNAcentral
AAAAAAAAAAAAGUUAAGAUUCGACCAAAUCUCUGUCAUUUGAACAUUGAUCUGCUCAUAGCGGAAACAUGCAAAUCGAAAGCGCCCUACCUAUUAAAAUCUUAAGUUAUAAUAAAAAAUUCUGGUGUUGAAGUAACCGUACCAAAUUACUUAGUUUCCUUCACUUUCUCAACAACCGGUAAAAAAGAGAGUUUUCCUCCUUCCUUUUAACAAUGACCACCAUUAGACUGCA